UGUGUCAUACCGUCUGUAAUGAAGCAGGC
This 29-nucleotide non-coding RNA is filed under the name Homo sapiens (human). The record is from RNAcentral. Lineage: Eukaryota; Metazoa; Chordata; Mammalia; Primates; Hominidae.